Molecule: long non-coding RNA, 289 nt
Filed under: Homo sapiens (human)
Lineage: Eukaryota; Metazoa; Chordata; Mammalia; Primates; Hominidae
Description: HSALNT0245232
Source: RNAcentral
CUAUGAAAACAGGGAAUAGAAAUAAUACUCAUAAUGACAGCCAUUUCCUGUUAAGAUCAAGGAUCUGUUUCUCUUUUUCUUUUUUUUUUGGUUUGAUGGUUGGAAACAUACCUAAAAGCAUAAACAAAAUAAUCACCCACCAUGCUCCCACUCCACAGAAUUAACCAUUGUUCAUCUUUUCCCAUAUUUGUUGUUUAUGUUCUUUUCUAAAUUACACAAAUAUAUAAGGACAUGAAGUUUUUUUUUGUUUUGUUUUGUUUUUUGACGGAGUCUCGCUGUUGCCCAGGCU